AAACAUGUUCUCUUGAAAAAGAUUUUUAUUUUUUUACCGGCAAUAUUGACCGAUAUUUGACUGAUAUAUCACUGAUAUUUGACUGAUAUAACCGAUAUAUAUCACUGAAUUGUUAGUGUUAAAUUGCUAUAUAUAUAAAUUCUGCAUGAUAUUAAAUAUAACCGAUAUAUAUCACUGAAUUGUUAGUGUUAAAUUGCUAUAUAUAUAAAUUCUGCAUGAUAUUAAAUAUAACCGAUAUAUAUCACUGAAUUGUUAGUGUUAAAUUGCUAUAUAUAUAAAUUCUGCAUGAUAUUAAAUAUAACCGAUAUAUAUCACUGAAUUGUUAGUGUUAAAUUGCUAUAUAUAUAAAUUCUGCAUGAUAUUAAAUAUAACCGAUAUAUAUCACUGAAUUGUUAGUGUUAAAUUGCUAUAUAUAUAAAUUCUGCAUGAUAUUAAAUAUAACCGAUAUAUAUCACUGAAUUGUUAGUGUUAAAUUGCUAUAUAUAUAAAUUCUGCAUGAUAUUAAAUAUAACCGAUAUAUAUCACUGAAUUGUUAGUGUUAAAUUGCUAUAUAUAUAAAUUCUGCAUGAUAUUAAAUAUAACCGAUAUAUAUCACUGAAUUGUUAGUGUUAAAUUGCUAUAUAUAUAAAUUCUGCAUGAUAUUAAAUAUAACCGAUAUAUAUCACUGAAUUGUUAGUGUUAAAUUGCUAUAUAUAUAAAUUCUGCAUGAUAUUAAAAUUACAGAUAUUCCACCGCGAUAACCUAUAUCUCAAAUAUUGGUCCUUGACCGAAAUCCGAUAUUUUACCUCAUUAACUGCAUAGGGUCAGCGUCUCGUUUUAGAUAGCGAUUAUAAUUUACAACAGCAAAAAGACAUAAACUAUUGACAUUCAAUUUGAUUAGAUUUUGCAGUAGCGCAACUUCACUCGUAAAGUGGUCAUCUUCGGUAGCGUCUAACCCAUUUAAAAUUCGAAACAAAUAAAACCAUCCAUUUUUGAAAAAAAAAAAAAUUCUACAAAUAAUCAAUGAAUGCUCAAAACAUGCAUACCUUCCUGAAGUCACCCUCUAUCAAGUUUUCAGCCAACGACGGGCCGACAGCUAAGAAUCCCCUGCCAAUAGGACUGUAAGGAACUAUCCCAAUGCCAAGUUCUCUGCAAAAGCGGCCAUAACAAUCAUAUCAUCAUCAAACACAUAAACAAGUUGUUGAUGAUCCUCAACUAACAUCAAAAUCUCUUGAAGAUGACCUGCAAGUAGGAAUAAUUUCAUCUUCCAAAUCUCUUGACCAUAAAGACCACUCGUUCUGUACGGCUGUUAUCGGAUGAACCGCAUGAGCCCUUCUGAUCGUUGAAGCACACGCUUCUGAUAAUCCCACAUACUUCACUUUCCCUUCCUCAACCAGUUUCUUCAGUUCUCCCAUCUUUCAAUUACAUAAUAUCACAUAUACAAGUGUUAAUUAACAACAGCUCAGUCUUAACAAUUUCUACCAUACAAGAUUUAAGAGUAACCUGUCAUUUUGGUCCCUGAGGUUUGGGUUUGGUGGUUAGACAAAAAACCUGAAUUACCUGAACUGUUUAACCCGAGACCGGAUUAACCCGAACUACAUUGGUUCACUUUUGGUCUGUUAUCAAGAAUUCGUGAAUACAGAUUAACUUUCCAAAAAGUAUAAGGGUUAUGUUCUUGUGUUGAAUUAUGUUAUCUUUUCAAACAACGUGAAGGUUGGGAUCUUUCGGACCACAAGUGUAACAUGUUUUGAAAAAAUUAACAAAUAUAUUCAACCCAAGAUACCCGAAUAACACGACCCAAUAACCGCACGACCCGAAUCCGACAAACCCGAUGGUGAUUCGGAUCAGUUUUCGGAUACAAUAGCAUACACAAAAUUAGGGCUGCAAACAAACCAAAAGUUCGGUGAACAGUUCGUGAACCGUUCAGCUAGAAGUUCUUUUGUGUUAACGAACACAAACAAGAAAUUUCGUUCGUUUAGCUCGAUGAAUGAGCAUGAACAGAGGCCGUGUUCGUUCAUUUAUGUUCGUGAACGUUCGGUAACGUGUACGUUUGUGUGCGAUGGUUCAUUAGUGUUUUUAGUUUUUAUAUUUUAUUUAAAUACUUCAAAAUCCCGACAAAUAAAUAUUUAAUAAAUGUCAUUAUAUUAAAUAUUUUGUUCAUGGACGCUUGUUUAUGUUCGUUUGUUUCCAUUUGUGUUCAUGAAUAUCAGCUUGUGCUCAUUUGUGUUCAUCAACAUUCGUUUUCGUUCGUUAACUAACAAACAUAAAACCUCGUUCGGCAAGUGUUCAUGAACAAUUCGUGAACACAUGUAUUUCUUAAAAACGAACACAAACAAGGUCGUUCAGUUCGUUUGCAGCCCUACACAAACUACCCGAAUAACCCGACCCAAACAAUAGCAUACACACAGAAAAGCAAGAGAGACUCACCGUGACUUCGAUUGGGACUCGAAUAUCAAUCCGAUGAAUAUAGUAGAGAUCAAUACAAUCAAUAUCAAGUCUCUUCAGGCUAGCUUCACAACAUGACCGUACAUACGCCGGAUCACCACACGCUUCUGUCUUUCCAUCCACCUGUCGGAUUCCAAAUUUCGUAGCGAUUUGAACUUUGUCUCGAAGUCCUCCUUCUUUCAAAGCCUACAAAAAAAACCCAUAAACUGAAACCAAAAGAUAAAACAAAAAACCUAAAGUUAAAUUAGUGACCUUGCCGACGAGGAUUUCGUUGGUGUGGGGACCGUAGACGUCGGAAGUGUCAAGAAAUGUGACGCCGGAAUCAAUGGCUUGGUGGAUGAGUUUGAUCAUGUCGGGUUGGGGUUUGGGGAGACCGUAGCUUCCGGUCAUACCCAUACAACCCAACCCUUGUGCUGAAACAAGUAGACCUUGUGAGCCUAAUUUCACUUUAGGAACCACGGAAGCCAUUGGUGUUUGUGGAUUAGAGUUUGUGUGGGGUGGAUAUGUUGAUUGAUGAUGAUGAUGAUGAUUAA
RNAcentral lists this long non-coding RNA (2957 nucleotides) under Helianthus annuus (common sunflower). RNAcentral's name for it is "hypothetical non coding rna". Lineage: Eukaryota; Viridiplantae; Streptophyta; Magnoliopsida; Asterales; Asteraceae. The record is from RNAcentral.